AACGAACGCUGGCGGCAGGCUUAACACAUGCAAGUCGAACGGGCACCUUCGGGUGUCAGUGGCAGACGGGUGAGUAACGCGUGGGAACGUACCCUUCGGUUCGGAAUAACCCAGGGAAACUUGGGCUAACACCGGAUACGUCCGCAAGGAGAAAGAUUUAUCGCCGAAGGAUCGGCCCGCGUCGGAUUAGCUAGUUGGUGGGGUAAUGGCCCACCAAGGCGACGAUCCGUAGCUGGUCUGAGAGGAUGAUCAGCCACACUGGGACUGAGACACGGCCCAGACUCCUACGGGAGGCAGCAGUGGGGAAUAUUGGACAAUGGGCGAAAGCCUGAUCCAGCCAUGCCGCGUGAGUGAAGAAGGCCUUAGGGUUGUAAAGCUCUUUCAGCGGGAAGAUAAUGACGGUACCCGCAGAAGAAGUCCCGGCUAACUUCGUGCCAGCAGCCGC
RNAcentral lists this ribosomal RNA (445 nucleotides) under uncultured bacterium. Its description in RNAcentral is "bacterial SSU rRNA". It matches the Rfam family "Bacterial small subunit ribosomal RNA", at positions 29 to 518 of the family's 1533-position model. The record is from RNAcentral.